This 468-nucleotide ribosomal RNA is filed under the name uncultured bacterium. RNAcentral describes it as "partial 16S ribosomal RNA". It matches the Rfam family "Bacterial small subunit ribosomal RNA", at positions 28 to 507 of the family's 1533-position model. The record is from RNAcentral.
GACGAACGCUGGCGGCGUGCUUAACACAUGCAAGUCGAACGGAAAGGCCCUGCUCUUGUGGGGUGCGCGAGUGGCGAACGGGUGAGUAACACGUGAGUAACCUGUCCUUGACUUUGGGAUAACUCCAGGAAACUGGGGCUAAUAUCGGAUAGGAGCACCUGCUGCACGGUGGGGGUUGGAGAGAUUCGGCGGUUGGGGACGGACUCGCGGCUUAUCAGCUUGUUGGUGGGGUAGUGGCUUACCAAGGCUUUGACGGGUAGCCGGCCUGAGAGGGUGACCGGCCACAUUGGGACUGAGAUACGGCCCAGACUCCUACGGGAGGCAGCAGUGGGGAAUAUUGCACAAUGGGCGGAAGCCUGAUGCAGCAACGCCGCGUGCGGGAUGACGGCCUUCGGGUUGUAAACCGCUUUCGCCUGUGACGAAGCGUGAGUGACGGUAAUGGGUAAAGAAGCACCGGCUAACUACGUG